GCAAGGGUUCCCGAGAGGCCAAAGGGGAAGGACUUAAUAUCCUUUGGUGUAGACCUACGAGGGUUCGAAUCCCUUCCCUUGCA
RNAcentral lists this transfer RNA (83 nucleotides) under Methanobrevibacter sp. RNAcentral describes it as "tRNA-Leu". It matches the Rfam family "tRNA". Rfam says of the family: Transfer RNA (tRNA) molecules are approximately 80 nucleotides in length. Their secondary structure includes four short double-helical elements and three loops (D, anti-codon, and T loops). Lineage: Archaea; Methanobacteriati; Methanobacteriota; Methanobacteria; Methanobacteriales; Methanobacteriaceae. The record is from RNAcentral.